UACGGGGGGAGCAAGCGUUGUUCGGAUUUACUGGGCGUAAAGAGCGCGCAGGCGGUCGUUCAAGUCGCGUGUGAAAGCCCCCGGCUCAACUGGGGAGGGUCACGCGAUACUGAUCGACUCGAAGGCAGGAGAGGGAAGUGGAAUUCCCGGUGUAGUGGUGAAAUGCGUAGAUAUCGGGAGGAACACCAGUGGCGAAGGCGGCUUCCUGGCCUGUUCUUGACGCUGAGGCGCGAAAGCUAGGGGAGCAAACGGG
RNAcentral lists this ribosomal RNA (253 nucleotides) under uncultured bacterium. Its description in RNAcentral is "partial 16S ribosomal RNA". It matches the Rfam family "Bacterial small subunit ribosomal RNA", at positions 524 to 776 of the family's 1533-position model. The record is from RNAcentral.